Molecule: long non-coding RNA, 2022 nt
Filed under: Homo sapiens (human)
Lineage: Eukaryota; Metazoa; Chordata; Mammalia; Primates; Hominidae
Description: HSALNT0033012
Source: RNAcentral
GUUGGAUCUAAAACCAGAUGUCUUUGAAGAAACUAUCAGGUCUGGUAAGAAUAAGAGGAAACAAAAUGUUAUUGGCAUGCUCAAUAAUGAUAAAGCCAAGAUGUCACCUGCCAGUACAAUGAAGAGGGACUGGGGUCUUGGCACUAAAAGGUGCAACUGAAGGAACAGAGAAACUGUGUAAUUGUAAAACCUCCUUGUGGCCCCACAUGGCUCAUACUCAAAUGAUUCCAGUGUCUAUGGCCUGAGAAGUGCUUCAUGAAAUGAGGAACAGUGCCUCAAGUCAGAGAUUGGCAUGGUGAGUCGCCGGGAGGUGGAAAAGAGGCACAGCUUCAUUGAAGCUACAGUUGGCUGCAAGGAACCAUUUCAAAUCAUCUUAGUUCUACGGGGCCAUUCAGGUGGCAAAGGCCCAGGUAACAUUUGAUCAAGUUGCUACAGGGCUUGGACCUACUUUUAUUGCCCCUUACUUUUCCCACUAACAUUUUUGCUUGAAAUAUCGAUGUUUUUUUGGUGCAGCAAAACUCUUUUCCCACAGCUAAAUUGAAGUAGGGCAUAUGUGCUUCCCUCACCUCGCUCCCAGUCCCUCUUGACCCCGAAAUGGUCUAGCAGCCUGUGCUUUGUUAAACUGAAAAUGUGUAGAAAUUUUUAUAGAGAUAUUCAGCUAUAUAAAUAGCUUUGAAAUUUGUCAUAACUUUAAAAACAGGUCAAAAAGGAAAUUGAACAGCUAGUGAGUUUCUGUCUUAGUCCGUUUUGUGCUGCUAUAACAGAAUACCAUAAACUAGGUAAUUUAUAAACAAUAGAAGUUUAUUUGUCUCAAUGGCCAACAAGCAUAUGGAAAAAUGUUCAACAUCACUAAUUAUCAGGGAAAUACAAAUCAAAACCACAGUGCGAUACCACGUAACUUCUGCAAUAAUGGUCAUAAUCAAAAAAUAAUAAUAAAUAAAUAGAUGUUGGCAUGGAUAUGGUGAAAAGGGAACACUUUUACUGGGUUGGUGGGAAUGUAAACUAGCACAACCACUAUAGAAAACAGUAUGGAGACUCCUUAAAGAACUAAAAGUAGACCUACCAUUUGACCUAGCAACCCCACUGCUAUGUAUCUGCUCAGAAGUAAAGAAGUCAUUAUACAAAAAAGACACUUGUUACAUGCAUGUAUAUAGCAGUACAAUUGCCCAAAUGCCCAUCAAUCAAUGAGUGGAUAAAAAAUGUUAUAUACAUACAUAUAUGUGUGUGUAUAUAUACAUAUACAUAUACACACACACACACAUACACACACACACACACACACACACACAUAUACCAUGGAAUACUGCUCAGCCAAAGAAAGGAAUGAAAUAAUGGGAUUUGCAGCAACCUGGAUGGAAUUGGAGGCUAUUAUUCUAAGUGAAGUAACUCAGGAAUAGAUAACCAAACAUACAUGUUCUCACUCAUAUGUGGGAACUAAGCUAUGAGAAUGCAAAGGCAUAAGAAUGAUAUAUUGGAGUUUGGAGACUCAAAGGAAAGAGUGGGGGAGAGGGAGGGAUAAAAGACUACACAUUGGGUACAGUAUACAAUGCUUGAGUGAUGGGUGCAACAAAAUCUCAGAAAUCCCCACUAAUGAGCAUAUUCAUGUAACAAAAUACCAUCUGUUCCCCAAAACUUAUUGAAAUAAAAAAUAAAAAAUUAAUGAUAAUAACAAUAAAAAGAAGUUUAUUUGUCUUAUGUUUCUGGAGGCCAGGAAGUCCAAGAUCAAGGGGUUGCAUCUAGUGGGGGUCUUCUUGCUGAGUCAUAACCUGGCAGAAGACAUCACAUGAAGAGAGAAUGGAUGAGAGCCAGCAAGCAAGAGAGGGCCAAACUUGCUUUUAUAACAAACCCAUUCCUGACAUCAUGAACUUACCCCUGCCAUAAUGACAUUAAUCCAUUCCAGGGGGCAAAGCUCUCAUGACCUAAUCACCUCUCAAAAGUGCCACCUCUCGAUGCUGUUGCAUUGGGGAUUAAGUUUCCAACACAUGAACUCUGGGGAGAUGCAUUCAAACCUUAGCAGUUUAA